This 297-nucleotide ribosomal RNA is filed under the name uncultured bacterium. RNAcentral's name for it is "partial 16S ribosomal RNA". It matches the Rfam family "Bacterial small subunit ribosomal RNA", at positions 28 to 334 of the family's 1533-position model. The record is from RNAcentral.
GAUGAACGCUGACAGAAUGCUUAACACAUGCAAGUCUACUUGAUCCUUCGGGUGAUGGUGGCGGACGGGUGAGUAACGCGUAAAGAACUUGCCCUGCAGUCUGGGACAACAUUUGGAAACGAAUGCUAAUACCGGAUAUUAUGUGAGUUUCGCAUGAAAUUCAUAUGAAAGCUAUAUGCGCUGCAGGAGAGCUUUGCGUCCUAUUAGCUAGUUGGCGGGGUAACGGCCCACCAAAGCGACGAUCAGUAGCCGGCCUGAGAGGGCGAUCGGCCACAUUGGGACUGAGACACGGCCCAA